This 469-nucleotide ribosomal RNA is filed under the name uncultured bacterium. Its description in RNAcentral is "partial 16S ribosomal RNA". It matches the Rfam family "Bacterial small subunit ribosomal RNA", at positions 28 to 507 of the family's 1533-position model. The record is from RNAcentral.
GACGAACGCUGGCGGCGUGCUUAACACAUGCAAGUCGAACGGAAAGGCCCUGCUUGCAGGGUGCUCGAGUGGCGAACGGGUGAGUAACACGUGGGUGAUCUGCCCCUUAUUUUGGGAUAAGCCUGGGAAACUGGGUCUAAUACUGGAUAGGACCAUGCUGUAGGUGGUGUGGUGGAAAGAUUAGUUUCGGUAAGGGAUGAGCUCGCGGCCUAUCAGCUUGUUGGUGGGGUAAUGGCCUACCAAGGCGUCGACGGGUAGCCGGCCUGAGAGGGUGGACGGCCCGAUUGGGACUGAGAUACGGGCCAGACGCCUACGGGAGGCAGCAGUGGGGAAUAUUGCACAAUGGGCGCAAGCCUGAUGCAGCGACGCCGCGUGGGGGAUGACGGCCUUCGGGUUGUGAACUCCUUUCAGCCAUGACGAAGCGCUUGUGGUGACGGUAGUGGUAGAAGAAGCACCGGCUAACUACGUG